Molecule: long non-coding RNA, 339 nt
Filed under: Vigna radiata
Lineage: Eukaryota; Viridiplantae; Streptophyta; Magnoliopsida; Fabales; Fabaceae
Description: long non-coding RNA (VRAD_LNC000259)
Source: RNAcentral
CGACGAGAGUGGUAUUGGAGGCGAAGAAAGGGGCCGUGAGGACGCAGACCUCCCGGAUGUGAACGAAGAGGCGGAGGAAGCGGAGUAGGGAGUGAAUGGCAGCGGCGGUGAGCAUGAGGCCAGGGUAAAGCGUGCCGCCGAUGAUGCGGCCGAGCGGGUACCAGGACUCGUAGUCGAACCAGUUCCAGAACUCGGCGAAGCCAUUGCGAGUGAGGAAGAGCGUGGUGCGGUAGUUGAAGUAGGGGUCGAACUCGUGGAUCAUGGACUCAUAGCGGAGGACGCUGAAGAGGCGCGUGAUGAAGGCGAGGACGUAGAUGAGGGCGAGUGUGGCGACGCGGA